CUUUCUAGAAAUUUGAAGUAUAUUAUUUUCCUAGUUGAUUAAAAGCUUUGAAACAAUUUUUAUUUUGUUUAACUCCAGUAUAGUAAGAGACCCUUUUCACCCUUGGACAUUUAGAUCAAUUUAUACAAGAAUGGUUCACUUUAGAUCGAUUUAAGCCCAAUGUAAACGCUUUGAAUCAAUCUUGUGAAUUAGUCUAAACUAAAACACCAAAAGAAGUAGUUUAUUUUGAAUCAAUCUUAAGUGAACCAAUUUAACUGAUAUGUGAAAGCAGAGAUUGAUUUAAACUAGUAUGAUUGAAUCAAAAAUAAUUUGUGCGAAAAUAUGGCAGAAAAAUCAAACAUAUAAUUUAUUACAAAAUGGAUGAACAACAUGAAAGUGCUAAAAAUAAACAAAAACUAUAAGAACAGCAGC
RNAcentral lists this long non-coding RNA (411 nucleotides) under Mytilus galloprovincialis (Mediterranean mussel). The record is from RNAcentral. Lineage: Eukaryota; Metazoa; Mollusca; Bivalvia; Mytilida; Mytilidae.